CAGGGAGACAACAAAAUGUUUAAUAUUAUUAUUUUGUCACCUUAGGUCGAUCGGUAUCUCACGUUUUUAAUUUAUUAAGAUUUUCAUUUCCUAAGUUUUUCUAGGUCACACCCAUUAUUUUUCCUGGGCCAUUAGCUCAGGUGGUUAGAGCGCACCCCUGAUAAGGGUGAGGUCCCUGGUUCAAGUCCAGGAUGGCCCAUAUCUCUAUGUUGGGGGUAUAGCUCAGUUGGUAGAGCGCCUGCUCUGCAAGCAGGAUGUCAGCGGUUCGAGUCCGCUUACCUCCACUGAUUACCACCUCUUCCAUAACCGAUAGAGAGGAAAUGUUUUGAGUUGUGAUCAAAUUCUGAAAGAAUCUAGCUUCCUAAUGAAAUCAUUAAGAUGCUGGACUCAUUGAAUUAAUUUCAUUGCUUUCAGAGAACCUUGACAACUGCAUAGAUUAUUUUUAAAGACAAUAAGCAUCUUUAAUGAUGCAGAUUUAUUAUUUGUGCGAAUGCAUUAAUAACAAUUCUAUUAAGCUGAUGCUUCAAUUUUUGAAGUUAUU
RNAcentral lists this transfer RNA (541 nucleotides) under uncultured cyanobacterium. RNAcentral's name for it is "partial contains 16S ribosomal RNA, 16S-23S ribosomal RNA intergenic spacer, and 23S ribosomal RNA". The stretch from base 212 to 284 matches the Rfam family "tRNA". Lineage: Bacteria; Bacillati; Cyanobacteriota. The record is from RNAcentral.